Non-coding RNA from Pelodiscus sinensis (Chinese soft-shelled turtle), 474 nucleotides. The record is from RefSeq and is a predicted model, not a curated record. NCBI's taxonomy places the organism in Eukaryota, Metazoa, Chordata, Testudines, Trionychidae.
CUGUCAAGGCUUGAAUGAAUACUGUGCUUUCACACUGAACUGAAAUAAAACACUGGGCUGUGCGAUCCUAGAAAGUGUCACAUGGCUCAGGCCGCUCCCUGCAAUCCUGCCAGCCCAUCCCCGAGGUGGAGGAGACUGACAUUCUAGCCAACAGCAGCGCUCAGUGCCUGCCCGUCGCUGGUCUGGGGGUGGGGGAGUGCUGGCUCUUUGCAGAACCCUUGCUUUCGCUUCGCGGAUCCCCAGGGUUCUCCGGAGCACCAGUUGGGAACCACUGAGGUAGUCGACUAUUUGCUUAUAUCCCUAGAUGGACCAGCUCUGAGUAGGACGUGAGCACAUCUCCUGUGCCAUCCUCCUGAUCCCGUGUGACCCGCAGGUGAAGGCGAGCCCAGGAAGUCCUGCAAUGGGAGCACAUUGCCUGCCUGCAUGCUCUGCAGCGCUUCCCAGACAAGCAGGACCACAGACUGGUGGCGGACC